UUCUCAGUAGCUUAUCGGGUUAGAUCAUCUGACUGUUAAUCAGAGGGUCGCUGGUUCGAGCCCAGCUUCAGGAGCCA
RNAcentral lists this transfer RNA (77 nucleotides) under Sphingobacterium faecale. RNAcentral describes it as "Sphingobacterium sp. C459-1T tRNA-Asn". It matches the Rfam family "tRNA". Rfam says of the family: Transfer RNA (tRNA) molecules are approximately 80 nucleotides in length. Their secondary structure includes four short double-helical elements and three loops (D, anti-codon, and T loops). Lineage: Bacteria; Pseudomonadati; Bacteroidota; Sphingobacteriia; Sphingobacteriales; Sphingobacteriaceae. The record is from RNAcentral.